RNAcentral lists this ribosomal RNA (1313 nucleotides) under uncultured bacterium. RNAcentral's name for it is "bacterial SSU rRNA". It matches the Rfam family "Bacterial small subunit ribosomal RNA", at positions 47 to 1399 of the family's 1533-position model. The record is from RNAcentral.
ACUCAUACAUGCAAGUCGUACGGGUCAGCUUCGGCUGUCACUGGCGGACGGCUGAGUAACACGUGGGUGACCUACCUCCGAGCGGGGGAUAACUGCCCGAAAGGGUGGCUAAUACCGCAGACAUCGGCGAUUCGGUUCGUCGAUUCAACCCGCAAGGGGCUUGGAGAGGGGGCCCGCGGCCGAUUAGCUUGUUGGUGGGGUAAUGGCCUACCAAGGCGACGAUCGGUAGCUGGUCUGAGAGGAUGAUCAGCCAGACUGGGGCUGCGACACGGCCCAGACUCCUACGGGAGGCAGCAGUUAGGAAUUUUGGGCAAUGGGGGAAACCCUGACCCAGCAACGCCGCGUGGGUGAUGAAGGCCUUCGGGUGGUAAAGCCCUUUUCCAGGGGAAGAUAGUGACGGUACCCUGGGAAUAAGCCCCGGCUAACUACGUGCCAGCAGCCGCGGUAAUACGUAGGGGGCGCGCGUUGUCCGGAUUUAUUGGGCGUAAAGCGCUCGCAGGUGGCCUGAUUAAGUCAUGCGUGAAAUCUCCCGGCUCAACUGGGAGCGGUCGUGUGAUACUGGUCGGCUCGAGGUCGGUAGGGGGAAGUGGAAUUCCGGGUGUAGUGGUGGAAUGCGUAGAUAUCCGGAGGAACACCAGCGGCGAAGGCGGCUUCCUGGACCGAUCCUGACACUCAUGAGCGAAAGCGUGGGUAGCGAUCCGGAUUAGAUACCCGGGUAGUCCACGCCGUAAACGAUGAGCACUAGGUGUUGGGGGUAUCGACCCCCCCGGUGCCGAAGCUAACGCGAUAAGUGCUCCGCCUGGGGACUACGGCCGCAAGGCUAAAACUCAAAGGAAUUGACGGGGGCCCGCACAAGCAGCGGAGCGUGUGGUUUAAUUCGACGCAACGCGAAGAACCUUACCUAGACUUGACAUGCACGUGGUAAGACCUGGAAACAGGGAUGACCCGCAAGGGAGCGUGCACAGAUGCUGCACGGCUGUCGUCAGCUCGUGCCGUGAGGUGUUGGGUUAAGUCCCGCAACGAGCGCAACCCUCGCUGCCAGUUACCAUGUCUGGCGGGACCCGCCGGGUCCAACCCGGAGGAAGGUGGGGAUGACGUCAAGUCAGCAUGGCUCUUACGUCUAGGGCUACACACACGCUACAAUGGCCGGUACAAAGGGCUGCGAUGGGGUGACCCGGAGCGAAUCCCGCCAAAGCCGGUCUCAGUUGGGAUUGCAGGCUGCAACUCGCCUGCAUGAACGAGGAGUUGCUAGUAACCGCAGGUCAGCACACUGCGGUGAAUACGUUCCCGGGCCUUGCACACACCGCCCGUCA